GACGAACGCUGGCGGCGUGCUUAACACAUGCAAGUCGAACGAGAAGAGAUGAGAAGCUUGCUUCUUAUCAAUUCGAGUGGCAAACGGGUGAGUAACGCGUAAGCAACCUGCCCUUCAGAUGGGGACAACAGCUGGAAACAGGUGCUAAUACCGGAUAAUAAAGCAGAUCGCAUGAUCAGCUUUUGAAAGGCGGCGUAAGCUGUCGCUAAGGGAUGGCCCCGCGGUGCAUUAGCUAGUUGGUAAGGUAACGGCUUACCAAGGCGACGAUGCAUAGCCGAGUUGAGAGACUGAUCGGCCACAUUGGGACUGAGACACGGCCCAA
Molecule: ribosomal RNA, 322 nt
Filed under: uncultured bacterium
Lineage: Bacteria
Description: bacterial SSU rRNA
Rfam family: Bacterial small subunit ribosomal RNA
Source: RNAcentral